Molecule: ribosomal RNA, 403 nt
Filed under: bacterium
Lineage: Bacteria
Description: partial 16S ribosomal RNA
Rfam family: Bacterial small subunit ribosomal RNA
Source: RNAcentral
UGGGGAAUAUUGCACAAUGGGGGAAACCCUGAUGCAGCGACGCCGCGUGAACGAAGAAGGUAUUCGUAUCGUAAAGUUCUGUCCUAUGGGAAGAUAAUGACAGUACCAUAGAAGAAAGCUCCGGCUAAAUACGUGCCAGCAGCCGCGGUAAUACGUAUGGAGCGAGCGUUGUCCGGAAUUAUUGGGCGUAAAGGGUACGCAGGCGGUUUAAUAAGUCGAAUGUUAAAGAUCGGGGCUCAACCCCGUAAAGCAUUGGAAACUGAUAAACUUGAGUAGUGGAGAGGAAAGUGGAAUUCCUAGUGUAGUGGUGAAAUACGUAGAUAUUAGGAGGAAUACCAGUAGCGAAGGCGACUUUCUGGACACAAACUGACGCUGAGGUACGAAAGCGUGGGGAGCUAACAGG